RNAcentral lists this ribosomal RNA (300 nucleotides) under uncultured Methanoculleus sp. RNAcentral's name for it is "bacterial SSU rRNA". It matches the Rfam family "Archaeal small subunit ribosomal RNA", at positions 333 to 639 of the family's 1478-position model. The record is from RNAcentral. Lineage: Archaea; Methanobacteriati; Methanobacteriota; Methanomicrobia; Methanomicrobiales; Methanomicrobiaceae.
CAGCAGGCGCGAAAACUUUACAAUGCGGGCAACCGUGAUAAGGGAACCUCGAGUGCCUGUACAUGCAGGCUGUCUGGGUGUCUAAAACACACCCAAAGAAAGGGCCGGGCAAGACCGGUGCCAGCCGCCGCGGUAAUACCGGCGGCUCGAGUGGUGGCCACUUUAUUGGGCUAAAGCGUUAGUAGCUGGGUUGUUAAGUCUCUUGGGAAAUCCGGCAGUUUAACUGGCAGGCGUAUAAGAGAUACUGGCAAUCUAGGAACCGGGAGAGGUGAGGGGUACUUCGGGGGUAGGAGUGAAAUC